This 21-nucleotide unclassified non-coding RNA is filed under the name Mus musculus (house mouse). RNAcentral describes it as "oocyte_clustered_small_RNA13251". Lineage: Eukaryota; Metazoa; Chordata; Mammalia; Rodentia; Muridae. The record is from RNAcentral.
CAGGGCUUGCAGGUUCAUCUC